Molecule: ribosomal RNA, 509 nt
Filed under: uncultured bacterium
Lineage: Bacteria
Description: partial 16S ribosomal RNA
Rfam family: Bacterial small subunit ribosomal RNA
Source: RNAcentral
ACGAACGCUGGCGGCGUGCUUAACACAUGCAAGUCGAACGAAGAGCGAUGGAAGCUUGCUUCUAUCAAUCUUAGUGGCGAACGGGUGAGUAACGCGUAAUCAACCUGCCCUUCAGAGGGGGACAACAGUUGGAAACGACUGCUAAUACCGCAUACGAUCCAAUCUCGGCAUCGGGACUGGAUGAAAGGUGGCCUCUAUUUAUAAGCUAUCACUGAAGGAGGGGAUUGCGUCUGAUUAGCUAGUUGGAGGGGUAACGGCCCACCAAGGCGAUGAUCAGUAGCCGGUCGGGGAGGAUGAACGGCCACAUUGGGACUGGGACCAGGCCCAGACUCCUACGGGAGGCAGCAGUGGGGAAUCUUCCGCAAUGGACGAAAGUCUGACGGAGCAACGCCGCGUGAGUGAUGACGGCCUUCGGGUUGUAAAGCUCUGUUAAUCGGGACGAAUGGUUCUUGUGCGAAUAGUGCGAGGAUUUGACGGUACCGGAAUAGAAAGCCACGGCUAACUACGUG